RNAcentral lists this ribosomal RNA (714 nucleotides) under Bacillus sp. L-1-5. Its description in RNAcentral is "bacterial SSU rRNA". It matches the Rfam family "Bacterial small subunit ribosomal RNA", at positions 55 to 749 of the family's 1533-position model. The record is from RNAcentral. Lineage: Bacteria; Bacillati; Bacillota; Bacilli; Caryophanales; Bacillaceae.
AUGCAAGUCGAGCGAAUGGAUUGAGAGCUUGCUCUCAAGAAGUUAGCGGCGGACGGGUGAGUAACACGUGGGUAACCUGCCCAUAAGACUGGGAUAACUCCGGGAAACCGGGGCUAAUACCGGAUAACAUUUUGAACUGCAUGGUUCGAAAUUGAAAGGCGGCUUCGGCUGUCACUUAUGGAUGGACCCGCGUCGCAUUAGCUAGUUGGUGAGGUAACGGCUCACCAAGGCAACGAUGCGUAGCCGACCUGAGAGGGUGAUCGGCCACACUGGGACUGAGACACGGCCCAGACUCCUACGGGAGGCAGCAGUAGGGAAUCUUCCGCAAUGGACGAAAGUCUGACGGAGCAACGCCGCGUGAGUGAUGAAGGCUUUCGGGUCGUAAAACUCUGUUGUUAGGGAAGAACAAGUGCUAGUUGAAUAAGCUGGCACCUUGACGGUACCUAACCAGAAAGCCACGGCUAACUACGUGCCAGCAGCCGCGGUAAUACGUAGGUGGCAAGCGUUAUCCGGAAUUAUUGGGCGUAAAGCGCGCGCAGGUGGUUUCUUAAGUCUGAUGUGAAAGCCCACGGCUCAACCGUGGAGGGUCAUUGGAAACUGGGAGACUUGAGUGCAGAAGAGGAAAGUGGAAUUCCAUGUGUAGCGGUGAAAUGCGUAGAGAUAUGGAGGAACACCAGUGGCGAAGGCGACUUUCUGGUCUGUAACUGACACUGA